UACGAAGGGGGCUGGCGUUGCUCGGAAUUACUGGGCGUAAAGCGCACGUAGGCGGCUUUCUAAGUCGGGGGUGAAAUCCUGGAGCUCAACUCCAGAACUGCCUUCGAUACUGGAGAGCUCGAGUCCGGGAGAGGUGAGUGGAACUGCGAGUGUAGAGGUGAAAUUCGUAGAUAUUCGCAAGAACACCAGUGGCGAGGGCGGCUCACUGGCCCGGUACUGACGCUGAGGUGCGAAAGCGUGGGGAGCAAACAGG
This 253-nucleotide ribosomal RNA is filed under the name uncultured bacterium. Its description in RNAcentral is "partial 16S ribosomal RNA". It matches the Rfam family "Bacterial small subunit ribosomal RNA", at positions 524 to 776 of the family's 1533-position model. The record is from RNAcentral.